Molecule: long non-coding RNA, 1200 nt
Filed under: Canis lupus dingo (dingo)
Lineage: Eukaryota; Metazoa; Chordata; Mammalia; Carnivora; Canidae
Description: lncRNA (ENSCAFG00020001987.1)
Source: RNAcentral
GCUGGCGGACGCGGAGGUGGCUGGGCCGUGUCUCCGGCGGGCGGCCUCGGCGGGCCCGGCCGGGCCUUCGUCGGGGGCUGGAUUCGUCGCCGCUCGAGCCGCGCGUCACCCGCUGAGUCCACAGCAGGACUAAACUGCAACCACGAAGAACUCAUUCCUGUGCGUUUCGCAACUCCUCUCUCCGCGUGUCUGAAAAUGCAGCUUGGCCUAGGGAUGGCAGCGGCGAAUUCCUCACGUGUGAAUCAGAGCCUGAGUCCGCACACUUCGGAUCUGGAAAUAGGAGUCCUGGGUGGGAAUCGGUGCUUUGUCACCGGCUCUCAGCUUUUGGGCAAGUUACCCAAUCGUCCCAGAGCCUUAAUUUCUCUGUAAAAGGGGUUGAAUGAUCUCCCUGCCUCCCAGAGCAGUGGUUCAAUGGCGUGAUGAUGUCAAAUGUUACUAGUCGCUGUUGAAGCCUGCCUGGCCCUCUGCCAGGUGCUGUGUAUGGAUUAUCUAAGUAAAUCCUUCCUUAGGCCAACCCCCCCAGAAGUAGGUACUGUUAUUUUCUCUAUUUUGUAAGUGAGGAACUUGAGGAUUAGAAAUGUUAAGUAAUUAGCCCCAAACCACCCAUUGGCAAGUGGUGAGGCUGGCACCUUGGGCCUCUCCGAUUCCAGAAACCCAAUAUGUGAAGCACUGUGACAACUUAACAAAAGCAAGUGCUUAUGUGGGCCAGGCCUGAACUUUAGGGGAGAAGAGUAGCAGGUGGAGGGAAAAGAUGGUGGUAGGGUUUGGGGCAAGCGCUGAACAUUACAGAACAGUACUAGGGACCAUCAGAUCUUAACAGUGACCAAAGAAUUGGUGCUAUUUAGACCAGGGAUUGGAAACUAUGACUGUUGGCUGAAUCAGGCCAGUUGCCUUCCUUUUAGCUAAAGUUUUGUGGAAACAGUCACUCUCAUUUAUUGGUUGCUUUAGGGCAGCAGAAGGCAGAGAGAUGAGUACUCUCAGCGGAGACCACUUGGCCCCCAAAGCCUAAAAUAUUUACUAACAGACUCUAUGGGAAAUGUUUGCUGACCCUUAAUGAUACAGAUUGUGUUUUCUCAUUUAUGUUAGAAAUCAGAUGUUAGAAACACACACCUCUAAUUCAUGGACUACCUAAGAGAUAUAAUGGCAAGCAGAAGAUACUUAGAGCUGGGUAAUAAAAUGUAUUAAGACUUUUGAGAUACA